RNAcentral lists this transfer RNA (77 nucleotides) under bacterium. RNAcentral's name for it is "tRNA-Thr". It matches the Rfam family "tRNA". Rfam says of the family: Transfer RNA (tRNA) molecules are approximately 80 nucleotides in length. Their secondary structure includes four short double-helical elements and three loops (D, anti-codon, and T loops). RNAcentral also lists the same sequence under 2 other names. The record is from RNAcentral.
GCUGGCGUAGCUCAGCUGGCCAGAGCAGCUGACUUGUAAUCAGCAGGUCGUCGGUUCGAAUCCGACCGCCAGCUCCA